GCCAAGCCGAGCCGGUCCCUGUCUUCUUCCAGCCGAGCCGCCAAGACCAAAUUGGCUCCAUCCACCUAAAUUUUGGUAAUUUAAUUAAUUAUUGUGGCAUUUCCCAGUAAGACUCCAUGCUUCGGACGUCAAUUAAAUUAAUUUGGGACUAAAAUUAAGUUAUUUUCCUUAAGGGACGUCUUGGACCAAGUAAUUGCUGCAGCGCGGGAAUUCUUCAGCAGGGGGGCUCGAGCACUGCAACCUCUCUAGGUUAGGACUUCGUCGCUUGGAAAGCGUACUGCCUCGCGGUUAGGACUCGACAAGUAGAUCUCCAGGUAGAGGACGAGGCAAGGGCAAGGGCAAGCUGGCGAGCGACCCGAAGUGAGACCGUGAAGGGCCAUAGGGACUACCGCUUCCGCUUAUCUUUAUUUCAGACUUUCGCAUUUGAGUUUGAGUACUUUUCAUUA
This is a long non-coding RNA of Cucumis melo (muskmelon), 446 nucleotides long. RefSeq lists it as uncharacterized. NCBI's taxonomy places the organism in Eukaryota, Viridiplantae, Streptophyta, Magnoliopsida, Cucurbitales, Cucurbitaceae. The transcript is spliced from 3 exons. The record is from RefSeq and is a predicted model, not a curated record.